ACCAGCUCAAUGCCUUUUUUUUUUUGAGCCAGGGUUUCAUCAUGCAUCCUGGGCUGGCUGCCCUUGAACCUAAUGUUCUCUUUCUGCAGCCUCCCAAGUGUUGGGAUUACAGGCCACAAGCAGCCUUUCGGUAAAGGAGAAAUAUCACCAUGUUGGCUUCUGACAUGGUGAGGACGUGUGAAUUAUUUUUGACCUUUUAAUCCGGCUGACUGAAGGAUUUCUGUGACAACCAGAAGACGGGGGAAAUGACACCCAGGACUGGAAAUUCCCACCUCAUUCACUUUGUAAUGUUCAUUCUUGGACUGCUCAUCCUUUGUUGAACCCACCAGUCUCAUGAGGAAGACAUUGAAGGAGAACUAAAUACCAGCCCGUCACGAACCCCCAGCUAACGGAUUCACCUGGCAGCCAUCUGAGCAGGCCUUGAACUCUGAGCCAACAUUACAAGAAACAGGGACAGAGGUGAAAAGCUUGCUGCUAUUCCUGAGCAUCACUGCUUCCCUCUAGCGGUCAGAAAGAAUGAGCUGGAAAAAUGGACGUCUAUCCUUGGCUUCUUGUUAAUCUACAUACACAUCAAAUGGGGGUUUCACAGAAGUCCGCUGGAUUUCCUGGUGAGGAGUGGAAAGCUGGCCGAUGACACGUCUAACUAUAAUUUCAUUCUGACCACUGAAACAAAAUUAUCUAUUUUAAAAGGUUUCAAAUCUGUGGCAAGGGCACUUUAAAUCACUUUCCUUUUUUUUUUAAUGUUUUACAUCACUCUGAGGUGCUGUACUUGUUCUCAACAACAACUGAUACCCACAUUUGUAUCUUAGUUCAAAGGAGUUUUGCAAAAAAUGACUGUAAGAGGAGAAGGAUGGAGAAGGAGAGGGCAUGGAGGGAAGGUGGCAGUCAGAUCACUAGUACGUGUCUCUUGGGGGUUGCUGUGCUCUGUGAAUGAGGGUGUGAUUGUACAACCAGCCUUCAGCAUGUCCUACAUUCCUCCAGAGAACCCAUCAUACCACUAUCUUGUUAGAUA
Molecule: long non-coding RNA, 1012 nt
Organism: Meriones unguiculatus (Mongolian gerbil)
Lineage: Eukaryota; Metazoa; Chordata; Mammalia; Rodentia; Muridae
Exons: 3
Source: RefSeq, a predicted model, not a curated record